This 443-nucleotide ribosomal RNA is filed under the name uncultured bacterium. RNAcentral describes it as "partial 16S ribosomal RNA". It matches the Rfam family "Bacterial small subunit ribosomal RNA", at positions 338 to 795 of the family's 1533-position model. The record is from RNAcentral.
CCUACGGGUGGCAGCAGUGGGGAAUAUUGGACAAUGGGGGGAACCCUGAUCCAGCGACGCCGCGUGAGUGAAGAAGUAUUUCGGUAUGUAAAGCUCUAUCAGCAGGGAAGAAAGAAAUGACGGUACCUGACUACGAAGCCCCGGCUAACUACGUGCCAGCAGCCGCGGUACUACGUAGGGGGCAAGCGUUAUCCGGAUUUACUGGGUGUAAAGGGAGCGUAGACGGCGAUGCAAGUCUGAAGUGAAAGGCGGGGGCCCAACCCCCGGACUGCUUUGGAAACUGUAUGGCUGGAGUGCAGGAGAGGUAAGUGGAAUUCCUAGUGUAGCGGUGAAAUGCGUAGAUAUUAGGAGGAACACCAGUGGCGAAGGCGGCUUACUGGACUGUAACUGACGUUGAGGCUCGAAAGCGUGGGGAGCAAACAGGAUUAGAUACCCGUGUAGUC